GGGCGAGUGACGGCGAGCGGUUAGCCAUCAUCCUUACAAGAUGAAGUAUACAGGUUCAAUUCCUGUCUCGCCCACCA
RNAcentral lists this transfer RNA (77 nucleotides) under Spirochaetota bacterium. RNAcentral describes it as "Spirochaetes bacterium tRNA-Val". It matches the Rfam family "tRNA". From Rfam's summary of the family: Transfer RNA (tRNA) molecules are approximately 80 nucleotides in length. Their secondary structure includes four short double-helical elements and three loops (D, anti-codon, and T loops). The record is from RNAcentral. Lineage: Bacteria; Pseudomonadati; Spirochaetota.